RNAcentral lists this ribosomal RNA (785 nucleotides) under uncultured archaeon. Its description in RNAcentral is "bacterial SSU rRNA". It matches the Rfam family "Archaeal small subunit ribosomal RNA", at positions 85 to 876 of the family's 1478-position model. The record is from RNAcentral.
ACUGCUCAGUAACACGUGGACAACCUGCCCUUAGGUUGGGUAUAAACCCGGGAAACUGGGUAUAAUACCCGAUAGGUCUCGAUUGUUGGAAUGCAUCGAGAUUUAAAGUCCGCCGCCUGAGGAUGGGUCUGCGGCCGAUUAGGUUGUUGUUGGGGUAAAGGCCCAACAAGCCUUUGAUCGGUACGGGUUGUGAGAGCAAGAGCCCGGAGAUGGAUUCUGAGACACAAACCCAGGCCCUACGGGGCGCAGCAGGCGCGAAAACUUUACAAUGCGAGAAAUCGUGAUAAGGGAACCCCGAGUGCCCGUAAAUUCGGGCUGUCCGCCAGCGUAAAAAACUGGUGAAGAAAGGGCCGGGCAAGACCGGUGCCAGCCGCCGCGGUAAUACCGGCGGCUCGAGUGGUGGCCACUAUUACUGGGCUUAAAGCGUCCGUAGCUGGAUUGUUAAGUCUUUUGGGAAAUCCUCCGGCUUAACCGGUGGGCGAUCAGGAGAAACUGGCAAUCUAGGGACCGGGAGAGGUGAGAGGUACUCCAGGGGUAGGAGUGAAAUCCUGUAAUCCUUGGGGGACCACCUGUGGCGAAGGCGUCUCACUAGAACGGCUCCGACAGUGAGGGACGAAAGCUGGGGGAGCAAACCGGAUUAGAUACCCGGGUAGUCCCAGCUGUAAACGAUGCGCGUUAGGUGUAUCGGUGACCACGAGGCAUCGAGGUGCCGAAGGGAAACCGUGAAACGUGCCGCCUGGGAAGUACGGUCGCAAGGCUGAAACUUAAAGGAAUUGGCGGGGGAG